UGGGGAAUUUUGGACAAUGGGCGCAAGCCUGAUCCAGCCAUGCCGCGUGCGGGAAGAAGGCCUUCGGGUUGUAAACCGCUUUUGUCAGGGAAGAAAUCUUCUGAGUUAAUACCUCGGGAGGAUGACGGUACCUGAAGAAUAAGCACCGGCUAACUACGUGCCAGCAGCCGCGGUAAUACGUAGGGUGCAAGCGUUAAUCGGAAUUACUGGGCGUAAAGCGUGCGCAGGCGGUUUUGUAAGACAGAGGUGAAAUCCCCGGGCUCAACCUGGGAACUGCCUUUGUGACUGCAAGGCUUGAGUGCGGCAGAGGGGGAUGGAAUUCCGCGUGUAGCAGUGAAAUGCGUAGAUAUGCGGAGGAACACCGAUGGCGAAGGCAAUCCCCUGGGCCUGCACUGACGCUCAUGCACGAAAGCGUGGGGAGCAAAACGGGAUUAGAUACCCUGGGUAGUCCACGCCCUAAACGAUGUCAACUGGUUGUUGGGAAGGUUCCUUCUCAGUAAACGUAGCUAACGCGUGAAG
This 519-nucleotide ribosomal RNA is filed under the name uncultured bacterium. Its description in RNAcentral is "partial 16S ribosomal RNA". It matches the Rfam family "Bacterial small subunit ribosomal RNA", at positions 355 to 864 of the family's 1533-position model. The record is from RNAcentral.